Molecule: long non-coding RNA, 1099 nt
Filed under: Chloebia gouldiae (Gouldian finch)
Lineage: Eukaryota; Metazoa; Chordata; Aves; Passeriformes; Passeridae
Description: Erythrura gouldiae (Gouldian finch) lncRNA (ENSEGOG00005009390.1)
Source: RNAcentral
CCCCCAUCGGGUGGGAAUGGAACCGGCCCGGAGCGAACCCCGCCCCCCCCCCGGAGCUCCCAGUUCCUCCCAGUACAAACCAGUAACGUCCCAGUAACUCCCAGUAACUCCCAGUGAGCCCAAAUCCCCUCCCAGUUCAUCCCAGUAGCGUCCCAGUUCAAACCAGUAACGUCCCAGUAACCGCCCAGUUCAUCCCAGUUCAUCCCAGCAUGGCCCCAGUUGAUCCCAGCCCCCUCCCAGUUCCUCCCAGUAACCGCCCAGUAACCUCCCAGUUCAUCCCAGUCCAUCCAAGUUCAUCCCAGUAACGUCCCAGUAACCUCCCAGUCCAUCCCAGUUCCCUCCCAGUCUAUCCCAGUUCAUCCCAGUUCCCUCCCAGUAACUCCCAGUUUGAUCAGUUCCCAUUCCCAGUCUCUCCCAGUUUGCCCAGUUUGAAUUCCCAGUCCCUCCCACUCCCAGUCCAUCCCAGUAACAUCCCAGUCCAUCCCAGUCCAAACCAGUUCAUCCCAGUAUGGCCCAGUCCUUUCCCAGUCCAUCCCAAUCACCUCCCAGUAACCCCAAACCAGUAAGCGCCCAGUUCAUCCCAGUAUGGCCCCAGUCCCUCCCAGUCCCUCCCAGUCCCUCCCAGUUCCCCCCAGUCCCUCCCAGUCCUUCCCAGUUCCCUCCCAGUCCCCUCCCAGUCCCUCCCAGUCCUUCCCAGUUCCCUCCCAGUCCCUCCCAGUCCCUCCCAGUCCUUCCCAGUUCCCUCCCAGUCCCCUCCCAGUCCCUCCCAGUACAAACCAGUUCCCUCCCAGCACGGGCGGCUCAAGCUCCGCCCCCCGGACUCCGCCCGGCGCCGGCAGCGGGAGGAGAAACUGAGGCACUACCGGGAGGCCAUGGACGCCUUACUGGGGGGCGCGCCCCCCGCCCAGGUGCUGUCCCUGACGGGCUCGGUCCUGGCCGCCAAUCCCGACGUGGGCACCUGCUGGAACCUGCGCCGGCGGGCACUGGGAGCACUGGGAGGGGACUGGUUCGUACUGGUUCAUACUGGUUUGGACUGGUUUGCGCUGGGAGGGGCCGGCAGGGCACUGGGUUGGGCCGGGAGGGGGCGAGAAAGGGUUAA